UCACUGUGAUAAUGGUGUUCCAACAUUGGCAGUGUCUACCAGAAGGGUAUCCCCCAUGUUCAGUAACCUUCCUCAGAUGCCUGAGUGA
This 88-nucleotide small nucleolar RNA is filed under the name Nannospalax galili (Upper Galilee mountains blind mole rat). RNAcentral's name for it is "Small nucleolar RNA SNORD14 (ENSNGAG00000006664.1)". Lineage: Eukaryota; Metazoa; Chordata; Mammalia; Rodentia; Spalacidae. The record is from RNAcentral.